CCUACGGGUGGCAGCAGUGGGGAAUAUUGCACAAUGGGGGAAACCCUGAUGCAGCGACGCCGCGUGAGCGAUGACUUCCUUCGGUAUGUAAAGCUCUAUCAGCAUGGGAGAAAAUGACGGUACCUGUCUACUAAGCCCCGGCUAACUCCGUCACAGCAGCCGCGGUAAUACGUAGGGGGCCAGCGUUAUCCGGCUUUACUGGGUGUAAAGGGAGCGUAGACGGUCCUGCAAGCCCGGGGUGAAAGCCCGGGGCUCAACCCUGGGACUGCAUUUGAAACUGUAAGGCUAGAGUGCCGGAGAGGCAGGCGGAAUUCCUGGUGUAGCGGUGAAAUGCGUAGAUAUCAGGAGGAACACCGGUGGCGAAGGCGGCCUGCUGGACCGUGACUGACGUUGAGGCUCGAAAGCGUGGGGAGCAAACAGGAUUAGAUACCCCAGUAGUC
RNAcentral lists this ribosomal RNA (440 nucleotides) under uncultured bacterium. Its description in RNAcentral is "partial 16S ribosomal RNA". It matches the Rfam family "Bacterial small subunit ribosomal RNA", at positions 338 to 795 of the family's 1533-position model. The record is from RNAcentral.